This 819-nucleotide ribosomal RNA is filed under the name uncultured bacterium. RNAcentral's name for it is "bacterial SSU rRNA". It matches the Rfam family "Bacterial small subunit ribosomal RNA", at positions 8 to 796 of the family's 1533-position model. The record is from RNAcentral.
AGAGUUUGAUCCUGGCUCAGGACGAACGCUGGCGGCGUGCCUAACACAUGCAAGUCGAACGGAGAAUUUCAAUAAGCUUGCUUAGCGAAAUUUUUAGUGGCGGACGGGUGAGUAACGCGUGGGUAACCUACCCAUAAAGCCGGGACAACCCUUGGAAACGAGGGCUAAUACCGGAUAAUCUUAAAGCUUGGCAUCAAGUUUUAAGGAAAGGUGGCCUCUGAGUAUGCUACCGAUUAUGGAUGGACCCGCGUCUGAUUAGCUAGUUGGUGGGGUAAAGGCCUACCAAGGCGACGAUCAGUAGCCGGCCUGAGAGGGUGAACGGCCACACUGGGACUGAGACACGGCCCAGACUCCUACGGGAGGCAGCAGUGGGGAAUCUUCCGCAAUGGACGAAAGUCUGACGGAGCAACGCCGCGUGUAUGAUGAAGGUCUUCGGAUUGUAAAGUACUGUCUUUGGGGAAGAAUGACUGGUUUGAAAAUAUUGAGUCAGUAUGACGGUACCCAAGGAGGAAGCCCCGGCUAACUACGUGCCAGCAGCCGCGGUAAUACGCAGGGGGCAAGCGUUGUCCGGAAUUAUUGGGCGUAAAGGGCGCGUAGGCGGAUAGUUAAGUCCGGUGUGAAAGAUCAGGGCUCAACCCUGAGAGUGCAUCGGAAACUGGUUAUCUUGAGGACAGGAGAGGAAAGUGGAAUUCCACGUGUAGCGGUGAAAUGCGUAGAUAUGUGGAGGAACACCAGUGGCGAAGGCGACUUUCUGGACUGUAACUGACGCUGAGGCGCGAAAGCGUGGGGAGCAAACAGGAUUAGAUACCCUGGUAGUCC